This 1346-nucleotide ribosomal RNA is filed under the name uncultured bacterium. Its description in RNAcentral is "partial 16S ribosomal RNA". It matches the Rfam family "Bacterial small subunit ribosomal RNA", at positions 28 to 1381 of the family's 1533-position model. The record is from RNAcentral.
GACGAACUCUGGCGGCGUGCUUAACACAUGCAAGUCGAACGGAAAGGCCCUGCUUUUGUGGGGUGCUCGAGUGGCGAACGGGUGAGUAACACGUGAGUAACCUGCCCUUGACUUUGGGAUAACUUCAGGAAACUGGGGCUAAUACCGGAUAGGAGCUCCUGCUGCAUGGUGGGGGUUGGAAAGUUUCGGCGGUUGGGGAUGGACUCGCGGCUUAUCAGCUUGUUGGUGGGGUAGUGGCUUACCAAGGCUUUGACGGGUAGCCGGCCUGAGAGGGUGACCGGCCUCAUUGGGACUGAGAUACGGCCCAGACUCCUACGGGAGGCAGCAGUGGGGAAUAUUGCACAAUGGGCGGAAGCCUGAUGCAGCAACGCCGCGUGCGGGAUGACGGCCUUCGGGUUGUAAACCGCUUUCGCCUGUGACGAAGCGUGAGUGACGGUAAUGGGUAAAGAAGCACCGGCUAACUACGUGCCAGCAGCCGCGGUGAUACGUAGGGUGCGAGCGUUGUCCGGAUUUAUUGGGCGUAAAGGGCUCGUAGGUGGUUGAUCGCGUCGGAAGUGUAAUCUUGGGGCUUAACCCUGAGCGUGCUUUCGAUACGGGUUGACUUGAGGAAGGUAGGGGAGAAUGGAAUUCCUGGUGGAGCGGUGGAAUGCGCAGAUAUCAGGAGGAACACCAGUGGCGAAGGCGGCUCUCUGGGCCUUUCCUGACGCUGAGGAGCGAAAGCGUGGGGAGCGAACAGGCUUAGAUACCCUGGUAGUCCACGCUGUAAACGGUGGGUACUAGGUGUGGGGUCCAUUCCACGGGUUCCGUGCCGUAGCUAACGCUUUAAGUACCCCGCCUGGGGAGUACGGCCGCAAGGCUAAAACCCAAAGGAAUUGACGGGGCCCCGCACAAGCGGCGGAGCAUGCGGAUUAAUUCGAUGCAACGCGUAGAACCUUACCUGGGUUUGACAUGGAUCGGGAGUGCUCAGAGAUGGGUGUGCCUCUUUUGGGGUCGGUUCACAGGUGGUGCAUGGCUGUCGUCAGCUCGUGUCGUGAGAUGUUGGGUUAAGUCCCGCAACGAGCGCAACCCUUGUUCACUGUUGCCAGCACGUUAUGGUGGGGACUCAGUGGAGACCGCCGGGGUCAACUCGGAGGAAGGUGGGGAUGACGUCAAGUCAUCAUGCCCCUUAUGUCCAGGGCUUCACGCAUGCUACAAUGGCUGGUACAGAGAGUGGCGAGCCUGUGAGGGUGAGCGAAUCUCGGAAAGCCGGUCUCAGUUCGGAUUGGGGUCUGCAACUCGACCUCAUGAAGUCGGAGUCGCUAGUAAUCGCAGAUCAGCAACGCUGCGGUGAAUACGUUCCCGGGGCU